This is a long non-coding RNA of Suricata suricatta (meerkat), 635 nucleotides long. RefSeq lists it as uncharacterized. The transcript is spliced from 3 exons. Lineage: Eukaryota; Metazoa; Chordata; Mammalia; Carnivora; Herpestidae. The record is from RefSeq and is a predicted model, not a curated record.
GCCUGAGCUGUUGGUUGAAAUGAACUAGUUAGAGCAUAUUCUCUGGUGAGAUCAUGUUUUUCUUGAAACGAAGAAUCUCACUUAUACUGUACAACGUCAGGAUAAAGAUGGAAAACCCCUCCUGCCAAAAGAGCCCAAGGAAUCACUUCCACCCAUGAGUGAAGACUUCCUUCUUGAUGCUUUGUCUAAGGACUUUACUGGUUCCCCAGACUCUUCAUCUCUUGUAAGUCUGAAACUCCUGGUUUUAUUUCCUUACUUUAUGGUGGCAGAAAGAAAUGGAAACUGGUGACUUAGAAUCUGACUUUGGAGCUGAGGAAAUAAUCAUAAAAUUAAAGGCUUUCAACCCAUUGUACCCAUGAAAUAUGUUGCAUCCUGAAAGUGUGUCAGCACAGUAGACAUUUGCAACAAUGUAACUAAUUGAACCAAGGAGUGUACACUCUAUUAAGUACACCUAUUAAAAGAGAAUUUAAAAUUCACUUUAUACAAAGGUACAUCUCAAAUAAUUUUACCUGUUAAUAUUUUUACAAUUAAUCAUUUUCCAUAAUUACCUCCUAGGAAAACUUAGCUCUGAGUAGAAUAGAUAGUUCCGCAAAGAGAAUUCUGUUACUAGAAAUUUUAGGAAGUGUUGGGUAAUG